UUCCAGACUCCUACGGGAGGCAGCAGUGGGGGAUAUUGCACAAUGGGGGAAACCCUGAUGCAGCGACGCCGCGUGAGGGAAGACGGCCUUCGGGUUGUAAACCUCUGUCGCAGGGGACGAAGGAAGUGACGGUACCCUGUGAGGAAGCCACGGCUAACUACGUGCCAGCAGCCGCGGUAAUACGUAGGUGGCGAGCGUUGUCCGGAAUUACUGGGUGUAAAGGGAGCGUAGGCGGGAGUGCAAGUUGAAUGUAUAAACUAUCGGCUCAACUGAUAGAAGCGUUCAAAACUGCACUUCUUGAGUGAAGUAGAGGCAGGCGGAAUUCCUAGUGUAGCGGUGAAAUGCGUAGAUAUUAGGAGGAACACCAGUGGCGAAGGCGGCCUGCUGGGCUUUAACUGACGCUGAGGCUCGAAAGCGUGGGUAGCAAACAGGAUUAGAUCCCCCGGUAU
This 449-nucleotide ribosomal RNA is filed under the name uncultured bacterium. Its description in RNAcentral is "bacterial SSU rRNA". It matches the Rfam family "Bacterial small subunit ribosomal RNA", at positions 329 to 793 of the family's 1533-position model. The record is from RNAcentral.